Molecule: transfer RNA, 72 nt
Filed under: Bos taurus (domestic cattle)
Lineage: Eukaryota; Metazoa; Chordata; Mammalia; Artiodactyla; Bovidae
Also listed under: 5 other names
Rfam family: tRNA
About the family: Transfer RNA (tRNA) molecules are approximately 80 nucleotides in length.
Source: Rfam by way of RNAcentral
UCCCUGGUGCCUCAGUGGUAAGGGACCUGCCUGUCAAUGCAGGAGACACAGGUUCAAUCCCUGGUCUGAGAA